UAAUAAAAGAAAAUAAUGUUGUAUGGAUUAUUAUUUUGUUGGACGAUUAUUCAGAGAACGCUUAUCCGAGGGUUUGCUUGUUUUUUUUAACAAGACAAAAGACUUGCUAUUUCCAUUGACUAACAAAGAAUGUUUAGACAAAAUCCGUCUAGUAGGAAAACAAAGAUUACUCUUGUGACAUUAUACAAUACUCAAGUGUGUAGUCCCAGCCAAGGGAUGGAAUCUAUCCUCCUUGUUGAUCUUCGAGAUAAUCACCAUCGCCGGGGCACUGUGAUUGCGUAAGACUAACAUUCCGUUCUUUCCAAACGUGUCACCUAAUAAGCAUCAUCACGGGAGAGGUGGCGUGUGGGCAGUGGGUGCAGGGUGGCGCGACCAUGGCGGCCGUGGCCUGAGGGUCUCCGGCGGACAGCGGACCUGCAAAAGGUGUCGGUGCGGCCGUGAUCUCCGACAGGCAGCGGAUGUAGCAGACCUGCAAGAGGAGCUGGUGGCGCGCAACCGGUGAGGCCAUGAUCUUCGGCUUACAGCGGAUCUGGGCCGUGAGCCAGAUCUGGGCCCAAUCAGGACCCAUCCUGCGCGCGAGGUUGGUUGUGGCUUCGGCUACACCGGUCAUGUGUUGGGGAACUCCUAUUGGACGCAUUCUGCGUCAAACAGCUGCGCGACGCACGCACAGAACCCCGACAGGGCCGGCCCAAUAGUGGGCGUGCUUGCUUGUACAGUAGCGCGGCGAUAUUAAUGUGAAAAAAAAAAACCAAGCUUGCAAUUUCCAUUGACUAACAAAGAAUGUUUAGACAAAAUCCGUCUAGUAGGAAAACAAAGAUUACUCUUGUGACAUUAUACAAUACUCAAGUGUGUAGUCCCAGCCAAGGGAUGGAAUCUAUCCUCCUUGUUGAUCUUCGAGAUAAUCACCAUCGCCGGGGCACUGUGAUUGCGUAAGACUAACAUUCCGUUCUUUCCAAACGUGUCACCUAAUAAGCAUCAUCACGGGAGAGGUGGCGUGUGGGCAGUGGGUGCAGGGUGGCGCGACCAUGGCGGCCGUGGCCUGAGGGUCUCCGGCGGACAGCGGACCUGCAAAAGGUGUCGGUGCGGCCGUGAUCUCCGACAGGCAGCGGAUGUAGCAGACCUGCAAGAGGAGCUGGUGGCGCGCAACCGGUGAGGCCAUGAUCUUCGGCUUACAGCGGAUCUGGGCCGUGAGCCAGAUCUGGGCCCAAUCAGGACCCAUCCUGCGCGCGAGGUUGGUUGUGGCUUCGGCUACACCGGUCAUGUGUUGGGGAACUCCUAUUGGACGCAUUCUGCGUCAAACAGCUGCGCGACGCACGCACAGAACCCCGACAGGGCCGGCCCAAUAGUGGGCGCGCUUGCUUGUACAGUAGCGCGGCGAUAUUAAUGUGAAAAAAAAACCAAGCUUGCAAUGAUGCCAGGAUUCGAUCUCUGCACCUCCAUGUUGCGUACGAGAGGAGCUAACCAGUAGACGUAACAAGCCUUGUUGCUAAAUAUGAAGCGUGCUAGUAUAAGAACUAAUACCAAUGAAGAAUGUGGACAAUAUUUUUUGAAUUUUUCUAAACUUUCCUUCGAAAUUGUGAAUUUCUUUUAACAAACGGGAAGUGUACCAAAAUACGAUAAGAAAA
This 1625-nucleotide long non-coding RNA is filed under the name Triticum aestivum (bread wheat). Its description in RNAcentral is "long non-coding RNA (TAES_LNC012340)". The record is from RNAcentral. Lineage: Eukaryota; Viridiplantae; Streptophyta; Magnoliopsida; Poales; Poaceae.